RNAcentral lists this ribosomal RNA (391 nucleotides) under Malayemys subtrijuga (Mekong snail-eating turtle). RNAcentral describes it as "partial 12S ribosomal RNA". It matches the Rfam family "Bacterial small subunit ribosomal RNA", at positions 800 to 1384 of the family's 1533-position model. Lineage: Eukaryota; Metazoa; Chordata; Testudines; Geoemydidae. The record is from RNAcentral.
CCCUAAACCUAGAUAUUUAAUAUACAAAAAUAUCCGCCAGAGAACUACGAGCAUAAACGCUUAAAACUCUAAGGACUUGGCGGUACCUCAAACCCUCCUAGAGGAGCCUGUUCUAUAAUCGAUAAUCCACGAUAUACCCUACCAUCUCUUGCUAAUCCCGCCUAUAUACCGCCGUCACCAGCUUACCCCUGAGGGAUAUAAAAAGUAAGCAAAAUAACUAAAAAGUUAAUAAGUCAGGUCAAGGUGUAGCUUACUGAGAUGGGAGAAAUGGGCUACAUUUUCUACAUUAGAAAUUAAUUUACGGAAGGAAACUAUGAAACUAGUCCUGCAAGUAGGAUUUAGCAGUAAACCUGGAUCAUAAUGCCUAAUUUAAACCGGUCCUGAGGUGCGC